CAGUAGCCGCGGUAAAACAGAGGGUGCGAGCGUUAAUCGGAUUUACUGGGCGUAAAGCGUGCGUAGGCGGCUUCUUAAGUCGGAUGUGAAAUCCCUGAGCUUAACUUAGGAAUUGCAUUCGAUACUGGGAAGCUAGAGUAUGGGAGAGGAUGGUAGAAUUCCAGGUGUAGCGGUGAAAUGCGUAGAGAUCUGGAGGAAUACCGAUGGCGAAGGCAGCCAUCUGGCCUAAUACUGACGCUGAGGUACGAAAGCAUGGGGAGCAAACAGGAUUAGAUACCCGGGUAGUCCCUGUCUCUUAUAC
Molecule: ribosomal RNA, 301 nt
Filed under: uncultured bacterium
Lineage: Bacteria
Description: partial 16S ribosomal RNA
Rfam family: Bacterial small subunit ribosomal RNA
Source: RNAcentral